GUGUCAGCAGCCGCGGUAAUACAGAGGGUGCGAGCGUUAAUCGGAAUUACUGGGCGUAAAGCGCACGUAGUCGGCUUUGCAAGCCGGUUGUGAAAUCCCCGGGCUCAACCUGGGAACUGCAUCCGGGACUGCAUUGCUAGAGUAUGGGAGAGGGAGGCGGAAUUUCUGGUGUAGCAGUGAAAUGCGUAGAUAUCAGAAGGAACAUCAGUGGCGAAGGCGGCCUCCUGGACCAAUACUGACGAUCAGGUGCGAAAGCGUGGGGAGCAAACAGGAUUAGAAACCCGAGUAGUCC
RNAcentral lists this ribosomal RNA (292 nucleotides) under uncultured bacterium. RNAcentral's name for it is "partial 16S ribosomal RNA". It matches the Rfam family "Bacterial small subunit ribosomal RNA", at positions 505 to 796 of the family's 1533-position model. The record is from RNAcentral.